Molecule: non-coding RNA, 73 nt
Organism: Podarcis lilfordi (Lilford's wall lizard)
Lineage: Eukaryota; Metazoa; Chordata; Lepidosauria; Squamata; Lacertidae
Source: the annotation of a GenBank genome assembly
GAUCAUAUAGCUCAGUUGGUAGAGCAUGAGACUCUUAAUCUCAGGGUUGCAGGUACGAGCCCCACAGUGGGCA